This 615-nucleotide long non-coding RNA is filed under the name Centruroides sculpturatus (bark scorpion). RNAcentral's name for it is "uncharacterized LOC111630566". Lineage: Eukaryota; Metazoa; Arthropoda; Arachnida; Scorpiones; Buthidae. The record is from RNAcentral.
GUUCAAUUCGAAGUCAACCCGGAAAUUGUGCGUUGGGUUCGACUGAUGAAGAUAUUUCAGUUUCUACAUUAAUUGAAAAGUUUGAAGCAAUUCCUUCCAAUAUAAACACCGGGUUACUGAUGUGUCUGAAUUCGAGUAAGGUCCCUUCACUCGGCUGUGAAAAUGAAAUAAACGACGGAAGUAAAAUGAUAUGGUGCCUGUUAAAGGAAUUUUGUUACAUGGAAAAGAAGCCUGAUGUAAUCAAUAUGGUAGAAUGUCUUUCCACAUUCUUUGGAGUCAAUGUAUACGAUUUACCGAAAGAGGUUUUCGAUGCUUAUGUAAACAAAACAUACGUGUCUGUUGAUAGUAUUUACAACAAUAUCCAUACUGGAGUGAUUAAUUGUGAAUUGAUCUAUGGCGGUCAAUCAUUAAAUAGUCGAUCUCCUCUGGGUAAUCUAAAUCAGUUUACGCUUGAACAGAUAAGAGAAUUUAUAACUUGGUACAUUGAGUAUUAUAUCUCUUUAUAUAAUCAAAUUCCACUUGAUUAAAACGUACCUUUUUACGUUAAUAUAUCAAACUAUUCUUGAUGUAGCCUACAUUUAUUGAAAUGUAAUAAAAUAUAUAUUCAACUGCAUA